UGGGGAAUUUUGGACAAUGGGCGAAAGCCUGAUCCAGCAAUGCCGCGUGUGUGAAGAAGGCCUUCGGGUUGUAAAGCACUUUUGUCCGGAAAGAAAUCCUUGGCUCUAAUACAGUCGGGGGAUGACGGUACCGGAAGAAUAAGCACCGGCUAACUACGUGCCAGCAGCCGCGGUAAUACGUAGGGUGCAAGCGUUAAUCGGAAUUACUGGGCGUAAAGCGUGCGCAGGCGGUUUGCUAAGACCGAUGUGAAAUCCCCGGGCUCAACCUGGGAACUGCAUUGGCGACUGGCAGGCUAGAGUAUGGCAGAGGGGGGUAGAAUUCCACGUGUAGCAGUGAAAUGCGUAGAGAUGUGGAGGAAUACCGAUGGCGAAGGCAGCCCCCUGGGCCAAUACUGACGCUCAUGCACGAAAGCGUGGGGAGCAAAACAGGAUUAGAUACCCUGGUAGUCCACGCCCUAAACGAUGUCAACUAGUUGUUGGGGAUUCAUUUCCUUAGUAACGUAGCUAACGCGUGAAGUUGACCGCCUGGGGAGUACGGUCGCAAGAUUAAAACUCAAAUGAAUUGACGGGGUCAUAGCUGUUUCCU
This 586-nucleotide ribosomal RNA is filed under the name uncultured bacterium. Its description in RNAcentral is "partial 16S ribosomal RNA". It matches the Rfam family "Bacterial small subunit ribosomal RNA", at positions 355 to 1375 of the family's 1533-position model. The record is from RNAcentral.